AGCAAAUCCCACCUCCCAAAUUCCCAGACUGGCCCGAAACGCUGGGAAAAGCAUUCACCAGUCAGCUUAGGAAGGCUUUAAAAAUCAAAAAAGAAAGACCAAUCUUUCAACCACGGAUCCCGAGUCAGAGGCAGAUUUGGGUUUCAGUCUCAGGUCUCCUGCCCAUUCUCUUACUCACAUAAAAUGCUGCAAUUAAUUUAUUGCAGUCUGGCCACAGUUGUUUUAUUCAUCACCGCUGCGGAGCUCCCGUGAAUGACACCCAGGAGAGGCAAUAUCAUCUCAACAAAACCAUCCUGAUGAAAGAAAGCUGAGAAUUUGGGGAGAAACAGCCAGCUCAGUUAAUACCUGCAACCCUCUGAAGUUCCAGCAGCCUGGGCCACUGACAAAACCAUCUUAUUGUGCUCCCAGCCCACGGGUUUUUGUGCCAGCCCUCUCCAGUGGCUGUGCAGAACACGGAAAGGUUUUGCAGGCUCAGAAAGGACUGACCAAAACAUGCAGCCGAGACACCGAGUUGGGCUGUGUCCCCAUGACACGGAGCCAUGAGGUUCCCAGACUGCUGCUCAGAAAAUCCAGCUCGGUGCCCCUGCCCAGC
RNAcentral lists this long non-coding RNA (592 nucleotides) under Cyanistes caeruleus (blue tit). RNAcentral describes it as "lncRNA (ENSCCEG00000017809.1)". The record is from RNAcentral. Lineage: Eukaryota; Metazoa; Chordata; Aves; Passeriformes; Paridae.